This 33-nucleotide small RNA is filed under the name Bombyx mori (domestic silkworm). RNAcentral describes it as "ovarian small RNA-4568". The record is from RNAcentral. Lineage: Eukaryota; Metazoa; Arthropoda; Insecta; Lepidoptera; Bombycidae.
AGGGCGGGUGGGAGAGUAGGUUGCUGCCGCAUU